GAACUUACACUACAACACUUGGGACUGAUUCCAGCCAAUCUACAAAUGUCUGCAAAUCAAGUACUUAGGUCUGGCCCAGUUUGUCAAGGAGCAGAACACUGCUAGUUUUGGUUUCAGAAGUGUAGGCUUCAAACAGGAGAAAGCAAUGCAGAAUGUUUUACCACCGUACGGUGAUGAGUUAAAUGGUAAAUCAGUUUCAGCAGCUUCUUUACAGCAGGCCACUGUUCCUGUUACGUCCAGCAUUCUGGAUAAUUGCCAUGACUUCCAAGCAUCAUGUGAGUCAGCUGUAGUUCCUGAGUUUUGUUCAUCCUUUCAUGAAUCAGAUAGAAUAUCUCAAGCAACACUAGCAAUUCCACAAAGAGAACAUGGUGUUUCAACAGAAGAUAAAUUUUGAGUUGGUAUAAAAUAUUGUUGAAACUCUUCCCCCAAACAGAUACGAUUGAAACACUUAUUUCUGGUAUUAUAAAUGUGUACUCUGGAAAUAAUACUUGAUCAUAAUGAUGACUUCUUCAUGCUUGAAUAUAUAUAUAUGUAAGGACACACACCAUUGUCUGUAAAAACACCACUUAAAGAAGCAAUUUGGAACAAUUCCAUUAAAUGUCUGACUUCAUAGUUGUGUGGAAUAAGAAAGCUCUUGUUCGUUAUUUGUAUAGAAACAUACUAAAUAAGUACUGGCACAUUGCAAGUACCAAACAUGUAAUAUAUUGUAUUUUUAAAAAAACUAUUAAGGAGGCUCUUGUUACUUAAGUUUACAUAACAUUUUAAUUUUGUGUGUUCUUUAAUACUGUUGCAAAGUUUUAAAAUCUUAAUCACGUCUGUGUAAAUUUUAAGGUUUAUUUAAGGGAUUAAUCAAUUUCUUCAAAUUAAAUUUUGUGUCAGUUUUCUAACUUUU
Podarcis muralis (Common wall lizard) is the source of this 892-nucleotide non-coding RNA. Lineage: Eukaryota; Metazoa; Chordata; Lepidosauria; Squamata; Lacertidae. The record is from RefSeq and is a predicted model, not a curated record.